This is a long non-coding RNA of Amphiprion ocellaris (clown anemonefish), 462 nucleotides long. RefSeq lists it as uncharacterized. The record is from RefSeq and is a predicted model, not a curated record. The transcript is spliced from 2 exons. Lineage: Eukaryota; Metazoa; Chordata; Actinopteri; Pomacentridae.
ACACACAUUGACAGAAGCGAUGGCUGUUUUGUGUUGUCUGUGUCAUGUUUGCACUUUGUUCGGGUUCUUUGCAUGUCUAACUCUUUGCUUUGACACACUCUGUCCUUGAGGUGUUGGCUGUUUAGCAUCUGGGUCACGUUUGGACUUUAUCCUGGUCACUUGUCUGUGUCAUUCAUGGCUUUGACAUAAAUUGAAGACAUUGGACUUUAAUUGUUUGCUGAUGUCGCCAUUUUCUCUGUUUCUUUUACAUGCCGAGAGACGAGAUCUGCAGUGGACGAUUAAAGAUGACGUUGACAUCCAUAGAGGUGAAAUUCCAUUAAGAAGAAGAAGAAGAAGAAGAAGAAGAAGAAGAAGAAGAAGAAGAAGAAGAAGAAGAAGAAGAAGAAGAAGAAGAAGAAGAAGAAGAAGAAGAAGAAGAAGAAGAAGAAGAAGAAGAAGAAGAAGAAGAAGCUCUGCUUCUAC